GAUGAACGCUGGCGGCGUGCUUAACACAUGCAAGUCGAACGGAAAGGCCCUGCUUGCAGGGUACUCGAGUGGCGAACGGGUGAGUAACACGUGGGUGAUCUGCCCUGUACUUUGGGAUAAGCCUGGGAAACUGGGUCUAAUACCGAAUAUGACAAUUGUUUGGAUGCGAUUGUGGAAAGCUUUUGCGGUAUGGGAUGAGCUCGCGGCCUAUCAGCUUGUUGGUGGGGUAAUGGCCUACCAAGGCGUCGACGGGUAGCCGGCCUGAGAGGGUGUACGGCCACAUUGGGACUGAGAUACGGCCCAGACUCCGACGGGAGGCAGCAGGGGGGAAUAUUGCACAAUGGGCGCAAGCCUGAUGCAGCGACGCCGCGUGGGGGAUGACGGCCUUCGGGUUGUAAACUCCUUUCGCAACCGACGAAGCCUUUUGGUGACGGUAGGUUGAGAAGAAGCACCGGCUAACUACGUG
RNAcentral lists this ribosomal RNA (466 nucleotides) under uncultured bacterium. RNAcentral's name for it is "partial 16S ribosomal RNA". It matches the Rfam family "Bacterial small subunit ribosomal RNA", at positions 28 to 507 of the family's 1533-position model. The record is from RNAcentral.